ACCGUGUGGACAGGAACACCGUGGCGCUGACCACGCCCAUCGCAGAGCUACUCAUUGUGGCUCCCGAAAAGCUGGCUGAGGUGGGAGAGUUCGAUCCAUCCAAGGAGCGCCUGCUAGAGUAUUCCCGCCGCUGCUUCCUGGCACUGGACGACGAGACUCUCAAGAAGGUGCAGGCUCUCAAGAAGAGCAAACUGCUCCUGCCAAUCACCUACCGCUUCAAGCGGUGAUGCCGCCGCCCCAUACACCUCCCUGCCCAGCAGAGUGCCAGGCCUGGUUUCCCCGGGCGCCGCCAGGGCUAGAAGCUGCCCUUCGAGAGCACUAGGCCCGGUCUCUCGGCCGCACACGUUAGGCACCCCACCUCCAUUUCACUCCGCAAGGGCUGCCAGCUCUGCCUCCCUAGCCAGGAGUAGCCCAUCUGCAUCCCACGCGAAGACAGAGCAUUAUUCUGAGAGUUUAAAUUAAAGAGACAUGAAAAUUUUCAAUAAA
This 486-nucleotide long non-coding RNA is filed under the name Rattus norvegicus (Norway rat). Its description in RNAcentral is "long non-coding RNA NONRATT000363". The record is from RNAcentral. Lineage: Eukaryota; Metazoa; Chordata; Mammalia; Rodentia; Muridae.